This 567-nucleotide ribosomal RNA is filed under the name Bacillus sp. CSu2_35. RNAcentral's name for it is "bacterial SSU rRNA". It matches the Rfam family "Bacterial small subunit ribosomal RNA", at positions 72 to 623 of the family's 1533-position model. The record is from RNAcentral. Lineage: Bacteria; Bacillati; Bacillota; Bacilli; Caryophanales; Bacillaceae.
AUGGGAGCUUGCUCCCUGAUGUUAGCGGCGGCCGGUUGAGUAACACGUGGGUAACCUGCCUGUAAGACUGGGAUCACUCCAGGAAACCGGGGCUAAUACCGGAUGCUUGUUUGAACCGCAUGGUUCAAACAUAAAAGGUGGCUUCGGCUACCACUUACAGAUGGACCCGCGGCGCAUUAGCUAGUUGGUGAGGUAACGGCUCACCAAGGCAACGAUGCGUAGCCGACCUGAGAGGGUGAUCGGCCACACUGGGACUGAGACACGGCCCAGACUCCUACGGGAGGCAGCAGUAGGGAAUCUUCCGCAAUGGACGAAAGUCUGACGGAGCAACGCCGCGUGAGUGAUGAAGGUUUUCGGAUCGUAAAGCUCUGUUGUUAGGGAAGAACAAGUACCGUUCGAAUAGGGCGGUACCUUGACGGUACCUAACCAGAAAGCCACGGCUAACUACGUGCCAGCAGCCGCGGUAAUACGUAGGUGGCAAGCGUUGUCCGGAAUUAUUGGGCGUAAAGGGCUCGCAGGCGGUUUCUUAAGUCUGAUGUGAAAGCCCCCGGCUCAACCGGGGAGGGU